This 2900-nucleotide ribosomal RNA is filed under the name Klebsiella pneumoniae. RNAcentral describes it as "bacterial LSU rRNA". It matches the Rfam family "Bacterial large subunit ribosomal RNA". Lineage: Bacteria; Pseudomonadati; Pseudomonadota; Gammaproteobacteria; Enterobacterales; Enterobacteriaceae. The record is from RNAcentral.
UUAAGCGACUAAGCGUACACGGUGGAUGCCCUGGCAGUCAGAGGCGAUGAAGGACGUGCUAAUCUGCGAAAAGCGUCGGUAAGGUGAUAUGAACCGUUAUAACCGGCGAUGUCCGAAUGGGGAAACCCAGUGCAAUUCGUUGCACUAUCGUUAACUGAAUACAUAGGUUAACGAGGCGAACCGGGGGAACUGAAACAUCUAAGUACCCCGAGGAAAAGAAAUCAACCGAGAUUCCCCCAGUAGCGGCGAGCGAACGGGGAGCAGCCCAGAGUCUGAAUCAGCUUGUGUGUUAGUGGAACGGUCUGGAAAGUCCGACGGUACAGGGUGAUAGUCCCGUACACCAAAAUGCACAGGCUGUGAACUCGAAGAGUAGGGCGGGACACGUGGUAUCCUGUCUGAAUAUGGGGGGACCAUCCUCCAAGGCUAAAUACUCCUGACUGACCGAUAGUGAACCAGUACCGUGAGGGAAAGGCGAAAAGAACCCCGGCGAGGGGAGUGAAAAAGAACCUGAAACCGUGUACGUACAAGCAGUGGGAGCACCUUCGGGUGUGACUGCGUACCUUUUGUAUAAUGGGUCAGCGACUUAUAUUCUGUAGCAAGGUUAACCGUAUAGGGGAGCCGCAGGGAAACCGAGUCUUAACUGGGCGUUAAGUUGCAGGGUAUAGACCCGAAACCCGGUGAUCUAGCCAUGGGCAGGUUGAAGGUUGGGUAACACUAACUGGAGGACCGAACCGACUAAUGUUGAAAAAUUAGCGGAUGACUUGUGGCUGGGGGUGAAAGGCCAAUCAAACCGGGAGAUAGCUGGUUCUCCCCGAAAGCUAUUUAGGUAGCGCCUCGUGAAUUCAUCUUCGGGGGUAGAGCACUGUUUCGGCUAGGGGUCAUCCCGACUUACCAACCCGAUGCAAACUACGAAUACCGAAGAAUGUUAUCACGGGAGACACACGGCGGGUGCUAACGUCCGUCGUGAAGAGGGAAACAACCCAGACCGCCAGCUAAGGUCCCAAAGUCAUGGUUAAGUGGGAAACGAUGUGGGAAGGCACAGACAGCCAGGAUGUUGGCUUAGAAGCAGCCAUCAUUUAAAGAAAGCGUAAUAGCUCACUGGUCGAGUCGGCCUGCGCGGAAGAUGUAACGGGGCUAAACCAUGCACCGAAGCUGCGGCAGCGACACUAUGUGUUGUUGGGUAGGGGAGCGUUCUGUAAGCCUGCGAAGGUGUGCUGUGAGGCAUGCUGGAGGUAUCAGAAGUGCGAAUGCUGACAUAAGUAACGAUAAAGCGGGUGAAAAGCCCGCUCGCCGGAAGACCAAGGGUUCCUGUCCAACGUUAAUCGGGGCAGGGUGAGUCGACCCCUAAGGCGAGGCCGAAAGGCGUAGUCGAUGGGAAACAGGUUAAUAUUCCUGUACUUGGUGUUACUGCGAAGGGGGGACGGAGAAGGCUAUGUUAGCCGGGCGACGGUUGUCCCGGUUUAAGCAUGUAGGCUGGUUGUCCAGGCAAAUCCGGAUAAUCAAGGCUGAGGUGUGAUGACGAGGCACUACGGUGCUGAAGUAACAAAUGCCCUGCUUCCAGGAAAAGCCUCUAAGCAUCAGGUAACAUCAAAUCGUACCCCAAACCGACACAGGUGGUCAGGUAGAGAAUACCAAGGCGCUUGAGAUAACUCGGGUGAAGGAACUAGGCAAAAUGGUGCCGUAACUUCGGGAGAAGGCACGCUGGUGUGUAGGUGAAGCCCCUGCGGGUGGAGCUGAGACCAGUCGAAGAUACCAGCUGGCUGCAACUGUUUAUUAAAAACACAGCACUGUGCAAACACGAAAGUGGACGUAUACGGUGUGACGCCUGCCCGGUGCCGGAAGGUUAAUUGAUGGGGUUAUCCGUAAGGAGAAGCUCUUGAUCGAAGCCCCGGUAAACGGCGGCCGUAACUAUAACGGUCCUAAGGUAGCGAAAUUCCUUGUCGGGUAAGUUCCGACCUGCACGAAUGGCGUAAUGAUGGCCAGGCUGUCUCCACCCGAGACUCAGUGAAAUUGAACUCGCUGUGAAGAUGCAGUGUACCCGCGGCAAGACGGAAAGACCCCCGUGAACCUUUACUAUAGCUUGACACUGAACAUUGAGCCUUGAUGUGUAGGAUAGGUGGGAGGCUUUGAAGCGUGGACGCCAGUCUGCGUGGAGCCAACCUUGAAAUACCACCCUUUAAUGUUUGAUGUUCUAACGUUGGCCCCUUACCGGGGUUGCGGACAGUGUCUGGUGGGUAGUUUGACUGGGGCGGUCUCCUCCCAAAGCGUAACGGAGGAGCACGAAGGUUAGCUAAUCCUGGUCGGACAUCAGGAGGUUAGUGCAAUGGCAUAAGCUAGCUUGACUGCGAGCGUGACGGCGCGAGCAGGUGCGAAAGCAGGUCAUAGUGAUCCGGUGGUUCUGAAUGGAAGGGCCAUCGCUCAACGGAUAAAAGGUACUCCGGGGAUAACAGGCUGAUACCGCCCAAGAGUUCAUAUCGACGGCGGUGUUUGGCACCUCGAUGUCGGCUCAUCACAUCCUGGGGCUGAAGUAGGUCCCAAGGGUAUGGCUGUUCGCCAUUUAAAGUGGUACGCGAGCUGGGUUUAGAACGUCGUGAGACAGUUCGGUCCCUAUCUGCCGUGGGCGCUGGAGAAUUGAGGGGGGCUGCUCCUAGUACGAGAGGACCGGAGUGGACGCAUCACUGGUGUUCGGGUUGUCAUGCCAAUGGCACUGCCCGGUAGCUAAAUGCGGAAGAGAUAAGUGCUGAAAGCAUCUAAGCACGAAACUUGCCCCGAGAUGAGUUCUCCCUGAGACUUUAAGUCUCCUGAAGGAACGUUGAAGACGACGACGUUGAUAGGCCGGGUGUGUAAGCGCAGCGAUGCGUUGAGCUAACCGGUACUAAUGAACCGUGAGGCUUAACCUU